UUCAGCUUUGAAGCAGAAAAUGUUCUCCACAGCUGCAGGGAGGAAGUUUACAAGAUACAUUUGAAGGUCACAGUGCAUCUCAGUGCUUUAGGCUGGUGUUAAGGAUUAAUGCAGAUGUUGGUCAAGAGAGAACUUUUCUCCCAAGUUUGACUUAAAAGGUCAUAUACAUGUUGGAAAGAUUUGAAAAUUUCUCAAGAAGGUGUUGCCACAGCUGCAUAUUUGAAAGUAUCAGCCAACUUUAAAAUCAAGAAGAUGUACUCUAAUAAGAACAGCGGGCCAUUGCUCUGGACUUUGCAACCUUCCACAUUAUACAUGAAUCUAUCCUGCAGCCAUUUGG
Oxyura jamaicensis (ruddy duck) is the source of this 337-nucleotide long non-coding RNA. RefSeq lists it as uncharacterized. The record is from RefSeq and is a predicted model, not a curated record. NCBI's taxonomy places the organism in Eukaryota, Metazoa, Chordata, Aves, Anseriformes, Anatidae. The transcript is spliced from 3 exons.